RNAcentral lists this ribosomal RNA (446 nucleotides) under Archembia dilata. RNAcentral's name for it is "partial 16S ribosomal RNA". The record is from RNAcentral. Lineage: Eukaryota; Metazoa; Arthropoda; Insecta; Embioptera; Archembiidae.
GUUGGUCUGCUCAGUGAAAUUUUAAAUAGCUGCAGUAAUUUGACUGUACAAAGGUAGCAUAAUAAAUAGUYCAUUAAUUGUGGACUGGGAUGAAAGAGUUGAUGAAUUAUAUACUGUCUUUGAAAUAUAAAUUGAAUUUGAUUAAUGAAUUAAAAGGUUCAUUUUUUCUUGAGGGACGAGAAGACCCUGUAGAGUUUUAUAUUUUAUGAUUGUUUAUUUUUGUGAUUUAUUUAGUUGGGGUGAUUGUAAGAUUAUAAUAACUUUUAUUUUCAGGGACGUUAAUGUAUGGAAUUUUUAUGGUUUUUUGUGAUUAAAAGACAAAUUACCUUAGGGUUAACAGCAUAAUUUUUUUGGAGAGUUCUUAUCAAUAAUGAAGUUUGUGACCUCGAUGUUGAAUUAAGAUUAUUUUAUGAUGAAGAGGUUAUAUUAUAUUGGUCUGUUCGAUC